UAGGGAAUCUUCGGCAAUGGACGAAAGUCUGACCGAGCAACGCCGCGUGAGUGAAGAAGGUUUUCGGAUCGUAAAACUCUGUUGUUAGAGAAGAACAAGGACGUUAGUAACUGAACGUCCCCUGACGGUAUCUAAUCAGAAAGCCACGGCUAACUACGUGCCAGCAGCCGCGGUAAUACGUAGGUGGCAAGCGUUGUCCGGAUUUAUUGGGCGUAAAGCGAGCGCAGGCGGUUUCUUAAGUCUGAUGUGAAAGCCCCCGGCUCAACCGGGGAGGGUCAUUGGAAACUGGGAGACUUGAGUGCAGAAGAGGAGAGUGGAAUUCCAUGUGUAGCGGUGAAAUGCGUAGAUAUAUGGAGGAACACCAGUGGCGAAGGCGGCUCUCUGGUCUGUAACUGACGCUGAGGCUCGAAAGCGUGGGGAGCAAACAGG
RNAcentral lists this ribosomal RNA (429 nucleotides) under Chloroflexota bacterium. RNAcentral's name for it is "Chloroflexi bacterium partial 16S ribosomal RNA". It matches the Rfam family "Bacterial small subunit ribosomal RNA", at positions 355 to 776 of the family's 1533-position model. The record is from RNAcentral. RNAcentral also lists the same sequence under 1 other name. Lineage: Bacteria; Bacillati; Chloroflexota.